UACGAAGGGGGCUAGCGUUGCUCGGAAUCACUGGGCGUAAAGGGUGCGUAGGCGGGUCUUUAAGUCAGGGGUGAAAUCCUGGAGCUCAACUCCAGAACUGCCUUUGAUACUGAAGAUCUUGAGUUCGGGAGAGGUGAGUGGAACUGCGAGUGUAGAGGUGAAAUUCGUAGAUAUUCGCAAAAACACCAGUGGCGAAGGCGGCUCACUGGCCCGAUACUGACGCUGAGGCACGAAAGCGUGGGGAGCAAACAGG
This 253-nucleotide ribosomal RNA is filed under the name uncultured bacterium. Its description in RNAcentral is "partial 16S ribosomal RNA". It matches the Rfam family "Bacterial small subunit ribosomal RNA", at positions 524 to 776 of the family's 1533-position model. The record is from RNAcentral.